AAGGGUCUUACAGAGAGUGGUUGAGGGAACUGGGAUUGUUCAGUCUGAAGCAGAGGAGGCUCAGGGGAGACCUUAUCACUCUCUACAACUUCCUGAAAGAAGGCUGUAGCAAGGAUUCCAAGAUACUUCUGAUCUACCACGGUGAGGGGCAAGCUUAAGCACAGGAACUGAAGACUGUAAAUUAUUUGUGCAAGUAUUGAGCAUCGUUUAAGACUACGCACACGUUUUCCAUAUUGUGCUUGUAGUAGCAGAAAUGUCUCCACAUGGCUUUCUACACCAUUUUGUAAAAAGUGCUUCAGUUUGAAGACAAAUUUUCUUUGGUCCAUUCAUAUUGCCAGGAUGCCCAGGAGAAGAGUGCCAUACAACACGCAACAAUUUAAACUUGGACUCAGAACAAAGCAUUAGCUCUAGGGAUGUGUGUGCUCGAGGGCAGUGUUAAGGAAAAUUCUGAGCUGUACAGUAGUCACCAUCAAAAUUAGACUCAUAAGAGGGGAACUUUAGCUUUUCUACUUGUGGAAUUAGUAACACAGGACCAAAGACUGACUUGGAGCAUUAAAUCUUGUCUCCUAACAUUCAGUACAAACAACACCACUUAACUCCUUUCCAAAACUGUUCUACUUUCAUAUCAAGUCUGUAUUAGGCUCUGGCAGAUCCUGCUUCCACUUCUUUCUAAACGGAUUCAGAAUGGCUCUGAGACCCUAGAUUCCUUCUUAAGAUCAAGUGGAAAGUCCAGCUUUGAAGCUAGACCUUAGAAAAUGCCGAUAUACUGAAACUCCACACAACCGCAACAGAAGACCAUCAAUAUGCCACCUUUUACAAAACCACUUUAUUUAAACUGGUCAUAAGACUCUUAAUUCAUGCUGCUGCAAUAAACAGAAAUGGUAAAGAAGCUAUUCAGGACAGAGCUGAAGACAACGUAGGAAUAGUUUGAAACAAUCUUUUCUUCAAGGCAAGCCACUGGAUCUUCAGUUCAGUGGGUGCUGAAAGCAACCACUAAUCCCCUUCUGCACCUGCCCAUACAACUGUCUCUCAAUAACGUAAGAAUCUCCUGACCGUGAUGUUCUUGUUCCUAAUGCAUUUAAGAAAGUUUAAUAUAAUUUGGUGACUUGUUCCUCGUAUUUCUCUUUGCCCUUUCUGCUUCCACUCUGAAGUAUUAUUGCAUUAGAAAAACUGUGAGAUCUUCACCACAGGAUGAAAUAAGAACAGGAAGAUAAAAUAUUGCUCAUUAAAGAAAAUAUCAGAUGUUUCUGCAGAGAACCUAGCUGAUGUAUUUUUUCCAUCUCAAAUAUUUUUUCCCUGUUUUUUUCUUCUUUUUUAAAGCUCCACUACUCAUACUGUAGGUUUUUUUCUUCUCCUAAGACCACCUUUUUCACAUCUCUGCUUCCUACACCAAACACAACUAAAGCAGUCUGAACACUAACCUAACUGCUGAGGAGCAAGGGGAUCAGCAAGGUGAGAUUUAUCUUGCCUUCUUCAAAGAUUUUCUCUUCUGAAUGUUGCAGCCCAGGGGCACGGCGUGUUUCACAGCCACCCUGUGGACCGUGGUGCCCUCAAAGUAACACUCCUCUGCAUGAUACUUCGAGAAGCUCACCUUUUCAGAUACAAGAAAUUCUUAUUUCAGGUCUUGCUGUUGUCUCAACUAAGUCAUUUCCUAACAAAAUCUUAAUUCUAUUGCCUGAAAAAUAUUUUCAUCCACUUCAACCAAGUGGGAGUUCUUGUGACGCCUCUGAGAAUGCUGAAGAUGCUCUAACUACAAUGUAAUUUCCUUCUUUCAUUACUAAAGAGAUUUUUAAUAAAGAAAACUAUUC
Molecule: long non-coding RNA, 1808 nt
Organism: Gallus gallus (chicken)
Lineage: Eukaryota; Metazoa; Chordata; Aves; Galliformes; Phasianidae
Source: Ensembl